UCNGGGGGCAAGUCUGGUGCCAGCAGCCGCGGUAAUUCCAGCUCCAAUAGCGUAUAUUAAAGUUGUUGCAGUUAAAAAGCUCGUAGUUGAAUUUCGGGAUCAAAUUGUCGGUCGUGCCUCGGUACGUACUGGCGUUAUUGGUUCCUCCCUUCUGAAGAACCGCGAUGUCAUUAAUUUGGUGUCGCGGGGAAUCAGGACUGUUACUUUGAAAAAAUUAGAGUGUUUAAAGCAGGCUCGCGCUUGAAUACAUUAGCAUGGAAUAAUGAAAUAGGACGUUUGAUUCUAUUUUGUUGGUUUCUAGGAUCGACGUAAUGAUUAAUAGGGAUAGUUGGGGGCAUUAGUAUUCAAUUGUCAGAGGUGAAAUUCUUGGAUUUAUUGAAGACUAACUACUGCGAAAGCAUUUGCCAAGGAUGUUUUCAUUAAUCAAGAACGAAAGUUGGGGGAUCGAAGACGAUCAGAUACCGUCGUAGUCUUAACCAUAAACUAUGCCGACUAGGGAUCGGAUGAU
RNAcentral lists this ribosomal RNA (508 nucleotides) under uncultured Glomus. RNAcentral describes it as "SSU rRNA". It matches the Rfam family "Eukaryotic small subunit ribosomal RNA", at positions 548 to 1061 of the family's 1831-position model. The record is from RNAcentral. Lineage: Eukaryota; Fungi; Glomeromycota; Glomeromycetes; Glomerales; Glomeraceae.